GCUUGUCUCAAAGAUUAAGCCAUGCAUGUCUAAGUAUAAACAAAUUUGUACUGUGAAACUGCGAAUGGCUCAUUAAAUCAGUUAAAGUUUAUUUGAUAGUACCUUACUACUUGGAUAACCGUAGUAAUUCUAGAGCUAAUACAUGCGAAAAGACCCGACUUUUUGGAAGGGUUGUAUUUAUUAGAUUUAAGGCCAACCGAGCUUGCUCGUCUCUUGGUGAAUCAUGAUAACUUCACGAAUCGCAUGGCCUCGCGCCGGCGAUAUUUCAUUCAAAUUUCUGCCCUAUCAAUUGGCGAUGGUAGGAUAGAGGCCUACCAUGGUGUUAACGGGUGACGGGGGAUUAGGGUUCGAUUCCGGAGAGGCAGCCUGAGAAACGGCUACCACAUCCAAGGAAGGCAGCAGG
RNAcentral lists this ribosomal RNA (403 nucleotides) under uncultured Chlorodendrales. Its description in RNAcentral is "partial small subunit ribosomal RNA". It matches the Rfam family "Eukaryotic small subunit ribosomal RNA", at positions 30 to 432 of the family's 1831-position model. Lineage: Eukaryota; Viridiplantae; Chlorophyta. The record is from RNAcentral.